AAUAUCUUCUGGCUAUGAACUUGAGCUUCUGUCUUAACUACAGGAACAUCAAAAUCAGAAUCCAACUCCACAAACCCAAACAAAUUUCUUCAAGUCCUUAAUAGAAUUACCCUCUGUGAUUCUUUUCCUCUUUCCAUCCUUCUUCCUUGUAUCAACCAUUCUAUACAAAACAUAAAAACAACACAAAUCCAAACAAUCAAUACCCCAUUCUGUUAGAAACAUAGCGUAUAUAUAUAUGAUCAUAUUGACAAUUAAGUAGUAGAAUGAGAAUUAACAGAAAUUAGAAGCAUACCUUAGAGAGAAACCAGAAUCCUUUCAGUUGUGAGAGAGUUGGAGAGAGAAAAUCACGUAUUAGCCUGAAAGUCACGUAUUCAAUUUUCUGUCAGAGUUGAGAGACUAUGGUGUUGCGGCGGCGGCGGAAGAGGACGACGACAAGUGGCUUCGAGAGGAGAGAGAGAAGUAGUAAGGGAGAAGAGAGAGAAAUAGUAAGGGCGUAGAUAGAGAGAGAGACCGAAGGAAGAUGGAAACUAAUUUGUUAUGUCAGCUCAUUAAUAUUAAUCCCUUAAUUGAAGGACUCUUAAUUGUAUUAGUAUUGUAAAUAUAUAUGAUGAAGUGUCAUAUUUUUGUAAUUAUUUUAUGAAUGUAUGAUUUUUAUAAUUACUUUUAAAAAUGUACUAUAAUAUGUAAUUGUUCCUAGAUUUAAUGUACAAAUAAAUUAAACGGGCCCACUGGCUUGGAAGGCUGAGGUUAUCGACGUAAGAUAUAUAUGGAUAAUGACCCCACCCAACCAGCGUUAAUGCUAGGUAUAAUGUAGUAUCUUUUUAGGAGUAGUUAACAUGAAGUUUAUUUUUAGAUAAGUUGACCAAUUGACAUUUUAUGUGUCAGUAUUUUAUUGAACAAUUAACCAACUUACUAAAAAAUAAACUUUAUACUAAUCGGAUCUAUAUCUUCCAUUCUAUUAAAAAGAUGCAAUUUUUUAAGUUAUAAUAGUGGGGUACUAUUUAUCUAAGGUCCACCAUAAAUUUUUUUGUUGUUAAUUUUCACACACCCACAUUUAAAAAUUGAAAAAAAUCAAAUAUUAAUUUUAUAAAAAUUAUAAGACAAGAAUUAUCAUUCAGCCCAGAACCAUGCGUCAAACGUCCGCCAUAUCAAGUAAUUCUAAGUUAUAAAGUAUAAUAUGGGUGGUGGUACCUGCACUUGAAACCUCAUGUUGGUGAGUAGGCAUGCAGAAGUGUGUAUUAAUAGUAUUUUCGAAGGUUUUGACUUACUACCCAGUCCAGUCAGUGCGUGGACCUGGCUGGGCUUGGAGCCUUGCACCUCCAUCCAUAAUCCAUUUCGUCAUCUCCCUCUCUCCCUCCCUCUACCCUCUACCCUCUACCCUCUACGAAAGGAUUAUUAGCAAUUAGAGUAAUAAUAACAUAGAGAUGAGAUGACAUAGAUAGAGAGAGAGAGAGAGGAUGUUGAUUUUGUGUUUGGGCUUAUGUGGAGAGAGAGAGAGAGAGAGAGAAGGGGAGGGAGAGGGACCUACUAUGUUUACCAUAGAAAAUGAGUAACCUGGUUCAUUAACCCAUCAUACUCAACAGUAACCUGGUUCAGCCAUAGUUGAUUUGAGAACUUUAUAUCUUUUCAAUGUAUCUGUUCUUCAAGUGACUGUUAAUUAAUCUUUU
Molecule: long non-coding RNA, 1667 nt
Filed under: Panax ginseng (ginseng)
Lineage: Eukaryota; Viridiplantae; Streptophyta; Magnoliopsida; Apiales; Araliaceae
Description: long non-coding RNA (PGIN_LNC008528)
Source: RNAcentral